GACGAACGCUGGCGGCGUGCUUAACACAUGCAAGUCGAACGGAAAGGCCCUGCUUUUGUGGGCUUCUCGAGUGGCGAACGGGUGCGUAACACGUGAGUAACCUGCCCUUGACUUUGGGAUAACUUCAGGAAACUGGGGCUAAUACCGGAUAGGAGCUCCUGCUGCAUGGUGGGGGUUGGAGAGUUUCGGCGGUUGGGGAUGGACUCGCGGCUUAUCAGCUUGUUGGUGGGGUAGUGGCUUACCAAGGCUUUGACGGGUAGCCGGCCUGAGAGGGUGACCGGGCACAAUGGGCCUGAGAGACGGCCCAGAGUCGUACGGGAGGCAGCAGUGGGGAAUAUUGCACAAUGGGCGGAAGCCUGAGACAGAAACGCCGCGUGCGGGAUGACGGCUUUCGGGUUGUAAACCGCUUUCGCCUGUGACGAAGCGUGAGUGACGGUAAUGGGUAAAGAAGCACCGGCUAACUACGUG
Molecule: ribosomal RNA, 468 nt
Filed under: uncultured bacterium
Lineage: Bacteria
Description: partial 16S ribosomal RNA
Rfam family: Bacterial small subunit ribosomal RNA
Source: RNAcentral